RNA transcript from Medicago truncatula (barrel medic), 2243 nucleotides. RefSeq lists it as uncharacterized. NCBI's taxonomy places the organism in Eukaryota, Viridiplantae, Streptophyta, Magnoliopsida, Fabales, Fabaceae. The transcript is spliced from 6 exons. The record is from RefSeq and is a predicted model, not a curated record.
GAAAUGACCCCUCGUAUUUUCAUGACUCUAAUGUUUGCUCAUGAAAUGUAAGGGUUGCUACAUUAUUCAAAACUUUUAUAACUAAUUGGGCACCUUGUGUAUAUAUUGGAAAAUUAGAACAAACCAAAGUCAAUUUAAUCAUUAUUCAUUUCCUUGUCUUUUAUAAAGUCUCAAUCAUUAAUAGAAAAGUUAACAGAUGGGUUCCUGCAAGUUUUUGAUCCUUCUGGCCGUGGUUUAUAUACUACUGCUACGCAUGACUGUUAAUGCCAAAGGGAGCUUUUUUCACCGUUAUAGAGUGGUUGCAUUGCAGAUAAAAUUUGUAGAGAGGUGGAAUGUGGAAAAGGAAAGUGUGGGGCUACAUCCACUCACAAAAACCCAUUUAGUGUAUUCUGUGAAUGUGAGCCUGGAUGGCAGCAAAUCAAAGUGGACCCUGAUUAUUCAAACAAGUUUCCUCCAUUACCAUGUGUCAUUCCCGAAUGCACCAUUAAUGAUGAUUGCAAGCAAGCUUUGCCUCUAGUUCCAGAAAAAGAUUUUCAAAUUCCACACAACAUGUCACAUUCUGACCCUUGCUAUUUGGCUUUUUGUGGGGAAGGUACCUGCAUCAAGAACAGCAAAAAACAAAAACAUAAUUACAAAUACAGAUGCGAAUGCAAACCCAAUUAUUUCAAUCUUCUAAACAUGUCUGGUUUGCCUUGUUACAAUAAAUGUAGCCUUGGAUCUGAUUGUUCGAAGCUUGGAAUUAAAAUUGUGAAUUCAAUAGCUGACAAUUCAGUUCUUUCCAUAGCAAGCUCAACCCGGGCCAAGAAGGUUCCAUUGGAUAUUUAGUAUAUGGGAGAAAAAAUUGUCAAGAGAAAAGAAAGGAGAAAUAAAGGAGAAAGAAGCAUGUUUAAUUUUUUAAAGAACAAACAUAUCCUCUUAUCCUAAAAACUAAUGUACUUUAUAAUUACUGAAUAGAAUUACUUAUCAAAUUACUGGUACUUUGUUAUUUUAAUCUAGUUACUAGCCGAUUAGUCGCCAGACAAAAAAUUCAUAGUUCAAACUUAGAAGAUGAUCUUUCACUAAUCAAUUAUAUCAUUAAUUGAUACUGUAUUUUUUCAAUAUCUUCUAAAUUAAAAUUUGAACAAAAGUAUAAUACAUCAAUUUUAAUUUACCGUAUAAACCAUAAAUAGAACAAAUGAUUGUCGAUAGUUAAUUGUAUAAUGAAUUGACCAAUGAAAUCACAUGUACAUGUGUACAUAGCUUUGUCCAAAUUUUUAUGUAGAAGAAAAUAUUUGGCAAUUCAAUCAAUAAAAAGAUACAUAUGUAUUUCAUUAGUUUUGUAUACAUUAAAAUUUGAACAAAGUUAUGAUACACCCGUAAUACGAUUUCGUCGGUCAAUUUGUUACACAAUUGACUAUCGACAAUCAUUUGUUCCAUUCAUUGGUAUCAUACUUAUGAAAUUAGCAUGAUAUUGUAAACCCUUGAACUUUUUGGGUGCAAAUUUUGAAGUCCAAAAUACCAUUGCAAGACCGAUAUAAUUCAUAUUAUUGGUCAUAAGGCGAACUGCUCCUAUAUAUGGUGAGGUAUUGUCUAUGUUUGGGAAGAUAUUCUGAAAGGCUUCCAUUGGAAUAUUGGUAUUAACAUUCAAAGCUAAACCCAUUUGAGUUGCCCCAGUUGUAUUGACUUGGGACAUUGAAGUAUGAUCCUUCUUAAGGUCUCAUGUUCGAGUCUCCUUGGUGCCAAAUGACGGUGGGCUAAUUUAACUUCUUCGAAAAGACAUACGAUGGCUUGGAGAGGCAAAGGUUUUGUUCCCACAACAUUCAAUUACCUAUUUUUGAUUUGUCUCUUCCCUUAACUCAAUUGGGUGCCGUUCGUUUUUUAGAGUGGUGGCAAAGUUGUUUCUCAAUUGGAUUUUCCAGAAUCAGCCAACACUAUUCAGAACCAGGAAAAUUCAAACCGAAAUUUUUUCUCAAUUGGGAACAGAACUUAUAAACGGGCGAUGGUUGAAAAUUUAAAAAGGGAUUAAGAGCAUUUUUGACAAUUGUGUGUAACUAGAACAAAUCAAAUAGUCUUUGUUUUGGGUUUAUAAUUUCUAAGGUACUCCUAGAUCUACUUGUUCGAAUUCAAUAGCUGAUAGUGCAGGAGAUUAAGAGGUAUCUGUUUCAUCUGAUAGGCCAUAUUUAGCUCUACUAGAAUGAACAUUUGUAAUGUAUACAAUCUGAAUUCUUGAGGAAUAAAUGUCCAAAAAUGAUCAAUAAAAGAAA